Molecule: ribosomal RNA, 252 nt
Filed under: uncultured bacterium
Lineage: Bacteria
Description: partial 16S ribosomal RNA
Rfam family: Bacterial small subunit ribosomal RNA
Source: RNAcentral
UACGGAGGAUGCGAGCGUUAUCCGGAUUUAUUGGGUUUAAAGGGUGCGCAGGCGGCGUGUCAAGUCAGCGGUAAAAUGUCGGGGCUCAACCCCGGCCGGCCGUUGAAACUGGCGUGCUCGAGUUGGAGAGAAGUAUGCGGAAUUCGUGGUGUAGCGGUGAAAUGCAUAGAUAUCACGAAGAACCCCGAUUGCGAAGGUAGCAUACCGGCUCCACACUGACGCUGAGGCACGAAAGCGUGGGUAUCGAACAGG